AUCAGCCAAAGUGCGGCCGUCCUCCAAUUGCUUCCCUGCGAAGAUCAACCUCUGCUGGUCCGGAGGAAUCCCCUCCUUGUCCUGAAUCUUCGUCUUCACGUUAUCAAUCGUGUCAGAGCUCUCCACCUCCAGGGUGAUGGUCUUCCCUGUCAACGUCUUCACAAAAAUUUGCAUGCCUCCCCUCAACCUAAGAACCAAGUGCAAGGUCGACUCCUUCUGGAUGUUGUAAUCAGCCAAAGUGCGGCCGUCCUCCAAUUGCUUCCCUGCGAAGAUCAACCUCUGCUGGUCCGGAGGAAUCCCCUCCUUGUCCUGAAUCUUCGUCUUCACGUUAUCAAUC
RNAcentral lists this long non-coding RNA (337 nucleotides) under Physcomitrium patens. Its description in RNAcentral is "long non-coding RNA (PPAT_LNC010522)". The record is from RNAcentral. Lineage: Eukaryota; Viridiplantae; Streptophyta; Bryopsida; Funariales; Funariaceae.